RNAcentral lists this ribosomal RNA (305 nucleotides) under uncultured bacterium. Its description in RNAcentral is "bacterial SSU rRNA". It matches the Rfam family "Bacterial small subunit ribosomal RNA", at positions 333 to 636 of the family's 1533-position model. The record is from RNAcentral.
UAAUACCUACGGGGGGCAGCAGUGAGGAAUAUUGGUCAAUGGGCGGGAGCCUGAACCAGCCAAGUCGCGUGAGGGAUGACGGCCCUAUGGGUUGUAAACCUCUUUUGCCGGGGAGCAAAGUGCCGCACGUGUGCGGUUUGGAGAGUACCCGGAGAAAAAGCAUCGGCUAACUCCGUGCCAGCAGCCGCGGUAAUACGGAGGAUGCGAGCGUUAUCCGGAUUUAUUGGGUUUAAAGGGUGCGUAGGCGGAGUGUCAAGUCAGCGGUAAAAUUUCGGGGCUCAACCCCGUCGUGCCGUUGAAACUGA